AGUCGACUCUAUUGCGCGCAGGAGGCAGAGAAGAGGAGGGAGGUGCAGAUUCAGGGACAGAAGUUCUCUUUUAUAUUUAUUUUUUUACUCAGGGAAAAAAAAAAACUGAGAAGUUUGAAGAGGGCAGCAGAGGGGAGGAGAGAAGGAGGGAGAGAGAGAGAGAGAGAGAGAGGGGGAGAGAGAAUGGGGAAGGAGGAGAAAGACGAGGAGAGGGACGCAGAGAGACAGGCGGAUGGAGGAGAAGCAGCAGCAGCAGCAGAGAGGAGGAGGAGGAGGAGAAACAAAGCGUGAUGACUGAGGAAGUGCGCGGUGCCUCGCGGGGCCAUGUGCUCAGGCCGGAGCUCUUCGAGACCAGCGCGAACGGCGCCAGCGACCUCAGCGACCUGGACCCGAGUGGCUCCUGAUCCGUCUGGAAGAGGAGAUGCGAGCCACCAGCUGGUCACACUGAUCAACGCGGUCACGGGGGCUCAGGUGUGCCCCUCUUCACCUGCACCGUGAGGUCGUUGAGAGCAGCAGGAGGGGGGGGGGGGGGGGCGCAGUGCUCUGGUCUACGUGCUGCGUAGGAAUCUGCUCAGGAGAUGUUCCUCAUCAGAUCACCUCCCGUGUCCUUCCCUUCCCUCGGGCUCAUUUUCUUCUCUUCUGCUUGGUCUCCACCUCUCGACCCUGC
Long non-coding RNA from Pungitius pungitius (ninespine stickleback), 667 nucleotides. RefSeq lists it as uncharacterized. The transcript is spliced from 3 exons. NCBI's taxonomy places the organism in Eukaryota, Metazoa, Chordata, Actinopteri, Perciformes, Gasterosteidae. The record is from RefSeq and is a predicted model, not a curated record.